RNAcentral lists this ribosomal RNA (497 nucleotides) under uncultured bacterium. RNAcentral's name for it is "partial 16S ribosomal RNA". It matches the Rfam family "Bacterial small subunit ribosomal RNA", at positions 28 to 507 of the family's 1533-position model. The record is from RNAcentral.
GAUGAACGCUGGCGGCGUGCCUAAUACAUGCAAGUCGAGCGAACGGACGAGAAGCUUGCUUCUCUGGUGUUAGCGGCGGACGGGUGAGUAACACGUGGAUAACCUACCUAUAAGACUGGGAUAACUUCGGGAAACCGGAGCUAAUACCGGAUAAUAUUUUGCACCGCAUGGUUCAAAAGUGAAAGACGGUCUUGCUGUCACUUAUAGAUGGAUCCGCGCUGCAUUAGCUAGUUGGUAAGGUAACGGCUUACCAAGGCAACGAUGCAUAGCCGACCUGAGAGGGUGAUCGGCCACACUGGAACUGAGACACGGUCCAGACUCCUACGGGAGGCAGCAGUAGGGAAUCUUCCGCAAUGGGCGAAAGCCUGACGGAGCAACGCCGCGUGAGUGAUGAAGGUCUUCGGAUCGUAAAACUCUGUUAUUAGGGAAGAACAUAUGUGUAAGUAACUGUGCACAUCUUGACGGUACCUAAUCAGAAAGCCACGGCUAACUACGUG